RNAcentral lists this ribosomal RNA (402 nucleotides) under uncultured bacterium. Its description in RNAcentral is "bacterial SSU rRNA". It matches the Rfam family "Bacterial small subunit ribosomal RNA", at positions 355 to 774 of the family's 1533-position model. The record is from RNAcentral.
UCGGGAAUUUUGGGCAAUGGGCGAAAGCCUGACCCAGCAACGCCGCGUGAGGGAUGAAGUAUUUCGGUAUGUAAACCUCGAAAGAAUGGGAAGAAUAAAUGACGGUACCAUUUAUAAGCUCCGGCUAACUACGUGCCAGCAGCCGCGGUAAUACGUAGGGAGCAAGCGUUGUUCGGAUUUACUGGGCGUAAAGGGUGCGUAGGCGGCGCGGUAAGUCACUUGUGAAAUCUCUGAGCUUAACUCAGAACGGCCAAGUGAUACUGCUGUGCUAGAGUGCGGAAGAGGCAGCCGGAAUUCGUGGUGUAGCGGUGAAAUGCGUAGAUAUCAAGAGGAACACCUGAGGCGAAGGCGGGUUGCUGGGCCGACACUGACGCUGAUGCGCGAAAGCCAGGGGAGCAAACG